GCCUAGGUUCAUAAUCACUUCAAGCCAAAGCAAGCUUUUAAAUCGUUUAUCCCACAGGCUUUAGUGUGAAUUCGUUGAGAUAGAAAGACACCGGCAGAAUUCUUAAAGCAAAAGAUAUAUGUUUGGGGGUGCAUCAAAGUUACCCCCAAAAAGGAUUGUGAAAGCAACUUCAAGGGAUUGAUAGGUCAGAGUCUGAAAGCCAGCCAUAGGCUUUUGAGGAACUUUUAUGAACUUAAAGCUCUCCAAUGACUCCAGGGUGGCCUGAGAGUCAACGGUUCUUGGAUAUAAAGCCAUGGGCUUGGCAGCAGUGCUGUGAACCAGAAGAGCAAUUCACUCAGUCUGUGCAUACCAAUGGCCUCCUCUCAGCUUUGCUAGGCAGUAGUAGGAGGCUUACUAGGGACAUUCCCUGAUCUAGUAUGCCCGGAAUAGCUCUGCAGUCCACACGGCUGACCUGGGAGUUGGAGGUGAAUUCGGAGUGCAGCUAUAAGAUGUGUGAAGACUCUAGACCACAUUCUAAAGCGCCUUUGAUUACACUGCAGUGCCUGUUCCUGUGGAAUGAAAAUGUGACGAUCCUAAAGUGUCGGAAAAAGAUAAUUAAACUCACUCGUUCAUUUCUCAGAUUAUUUUUCCCUUUUGUCUAUUGAGCUUCAAGUUACUCAGAAUGUCUAAUUUUCUUUUUAAAAAAAAUCUGUUAAAUAAAGCAAAACAAAAGAAAGAAAGAAAGAAAGAA
This 730-nucleotide long non-coding RNA is filed under the name Rattus norvegicus (Norway rat). RNAcentral describes it as "long non-coding RNA NONRATT028537". The record is from RNAcentral. Lineage: Eukaryota; Metazoa; Chordata; Mammalia; Rodentia; Muridae.